AGGUGUCACCCUCACCCAUCCCCAACGGGGGUGUCACCCUCACCCAUCCCUGAUGAUGGUGUCACCCCAACCCCAUCCCUGACAGGGGUGUCCCCUCUCUGCAGGCCCUGGGGGACCCCCACCUGCCCGGAGAGCCCUGGGGACAUCCCAAGGGGGUCCCCAAGAACAGGGGACAAACAAGAGCGGAGCAUCGGAGCAGGACGGGCCAGGGGGCCCAGAGAUGGCGGUGCCCAAAGCCCAGGACCUGGAUGUCCCCCAGGGACAGCUGUCACUGGUCCCCAGGAGGUGGCUGAACCCACAGGACCAGAGGGGAUCAACCCCGAACCCCAAGAUCUGGGGGCUCCCCAAGGCUCAGGACUGAGUGUCCCCAGCCCUGGACACCCGGACGUGGCUGUCCCCAAACCUCCGGAGCUCAAUGGCCACCAAGAGCCCCUCGUCCCUGGGGACACAGAGCCAGAUGUCCCCCAGGAACAGGGGACAGUCCCAUUGGAGCAGGAGGGACCCAGGGAGCUGCCCGAGCCCACGGAGCCGGACGUGUCCCAAGAGCCAGGUGACCCCCAAGGACUGGGGACAUUUGUCACCGGUGCCUGGGGGCAGGAGGGACCCCCGGGACCAGAGGUGAGUGUUCCCCACCCCAAGAGCUGGACACCCCUGAGCCCCAGGUGUCCUCCGGUCCCCAAGGUCUCAGUGUCCCUCAAGGACCAGAGGCUGCUGUCUCCAUCCAACUUUGGUGUUCCCCAUCCCCAGAACUUUGGUGUUCCCCAAACCCCAAGACCUCAGUGUUCCCCAAAGACCAGGAAUUACUGUCCCCAACCCCAAACUCCCUGUCCCCCAAACCCUGAGUCCUUGGUGUCCCUGACCCCAAACCCCAAUGCCCCAAUGACCCCAGAACCCCAGCCCCAAGGCCUUGAUGACCCCCAACUCCAAGACCCCAAUGACCCUAAACCCAAACCACCACGCUCCUGAUGUCCCUUUAACCUCAAGAUGUCAGUAUCCCCCAAACCCAAAAGGGCCUGGUGACCCCAAACCCCCAACCUCAAGACCCUGAUGUCCCUCAAAACCUUGAUGACCCCAGCCCCCAAUGUCCCCUCAGUCUGUGGUGUUCCCCCCAAUCCCAAACCUCAGUGUCCCUGAAACCCCCAGACCCUGCU
This 1151-nucleotide long non-coding RNA is filed under the name Zonotrichia albicollis (white-throated sparrow). RNAcentral describes it as "lncRNA (ENSZALG00000001888.1)". The record is from RNAcentral. Lineage: Eukaryota; Metazoa; Chordata; Aves; Passeriformes; Passerellidae.